Molecule: ribosomal RNA, 478 nt
Filed under: uncultured bacterium
Lineage: Bacteria
Description: partial 16S ribosomal RNA
Rfam family: Bacterial small subunit ribosomal RNA
Source: RNAcentral
GACGAACGCUGGCGGCGUGCUUAACACAUGCAAGUCGAGCGAUGAAGCUCCUUCGGGAGUGGAUUAGCGGCGGACGGGUGAGUAACACGUGGGUAACCUGCCUCAUAGAGGGGAAUAGCCUUUCGAAAGGAAGAUUAAUACCGCAUAAGAUUGUAGCUUCGCAUGAAGCAGCAAUUAAAGGAGUAAUCCGCUAUGAGAUGGACCCGCGUCGCAUUAGCUAGUUGGUGAGGUAACGGCUGACCAAGGCGACGAUGUGUAGCCGACCUGGGAGGGUGAUCGGCCACAUUGCGAAUGAGACACGGACCAGAAUCCUCCGGGAGGCAGCAGGGGGGAAUAUUGCACAAUGGGGGAAACCCUGAUGCAGCAACGCCGCGUGGGUGAUGACGGUCUUCGGAUUGUAAAGCUCUGUCUUCAGGGACGAUAAUGACGGUACCUGAGGAGGAAGCCACGGCUAACUACGUGCCAGCCGCCGCGGUAA